Molecule: ribosomal RNA, 135 nt
Filed under: uncultured bacterium
Lineage: Bacteria
Description: partial 16S ribosomal RNA
Source: RNAcentral
CACGGAGUUAGCCGGAGCUUAUUCUCCCGGUACUGUCAUUAUCAUCCCGGGUAAAAGAGCUUUACAACCCUAAGGCCUUCAUCACUCACGCGGCAUUGCUGGAUCAGGGUUUCCCCCAUUGUCCAAUAUUCCCCA